This 410-nucleotide long non-coding RNA is filed under the name Sinocyclocheilus anshuiensis. Its description in RNAcentral is "lncRNA (ENSSANG00000050426.1)". Lineage: Eukaryota; Metazoa; Chordata; Actinopteri; Cypriniformes; Cyprinidae. The record is from RNAcentral.
AUUUACUAGCUGUUUUUGUUUGUUUGUUUGUUUGUUUUUUGAAAUCCACAGGUCCUAUUUACCUGAUAUUCCAGUACUGCUGUAACGGAGAUCUCUUGAACUAUCUGAAGAGCAACAGGGAACGCUUUCACAAAUAUCUGACAGACGCUUUCAACAGGGACAGAUUCAGGGGCCUCUACCACAAUUUCCAGCAGAAGAUAAACUCCAGUGAGUAUAUUGAGCCUGAUAACAACCAAUACGUGCACAUGACUCCCUCAACCAAAGGACAGGAGAACGAGGCACUCCUCAGUCCCAGCAUCAGCUCAGUGUCUACUAUUGAGGAAAUGCUUGAAUGUGAAGACAAACACCAAGAAGAGGUACUUCAGAGUCUCACCUAUGAUGACCUUCUGAGUUUCUCUUUUCAAGUUGCA